Molecule: long non-coding RNA, 1005 nt
Filed under: Brassica napus (rape)
Lineage: Eukaryota; Viridiplantae; Streptophyta; Magnoliopsida; Brassicales; Brassicaceae
Description: long non-coding RNA (BNAP_LNC008870)
Source: RNAcentral
AAACAUGAUCUCAAUUCCUGAUAUGUAGCCAAAAUAUACUAAGAUAUUAUUAAACAUCUACAAUAACGAUCUACUAUAUGAAGGUUGAUGGUUGAAAGUGGCAGUUGAGGCUUGAAAUUUUUAGAUUUUGGUUUUAUUUUCAUUGAAUAAUUUUUUUUAUUUCAUGAGAACUUAAUUUUUCGUUUUAUGAUUUCAUUUAUAAGUUUUCUUUCUAUCAAUAACAAUGUUUACCUUUCGUUUGACUUUGAAUAAUUAUGUUUGAUGUUUUUUCUUAUUUUUGAAUCGAUUUUACUUAUGUUUUGGUUAUAAAAUAGAUACAAAUCAAGUACUUUAAACUCGAAGAACCGAUUUUACUUAUGUUUUGGUUACAAAAUAGGUAUAAAUAAAGUACUUUAAAACCGAAGAACCGGUUGGAACCCAAAACCCGAAAGUACACCGGGUUGUACCGGUUCUUUGAAGAUUUACUAAUCCCGAUUCGAACCUGAUAAAACCUAAACCGGUCCUGAACAGAACUUUUAUAUAAUCCGAAUGUAGCUGAUUUUGAUAAACCCGAAAAACUGAGACCCGAUUGAACAAAACCGAAACCCGAUUGGGACCCCGAAUGCCGAUGCCUAAUUGAGAUUAUGGAAUGUGACGUGAGUACUUACCAACAUAUUAACAGCCAUUGGGUAAUUUUUUGUGUGUGUUAUGGUUUGUCAAUAAAACGUUUGGUGAGACCAGUAAAAAUAGGGUAUUCAGUUUUAGGAAAACACAUGCAUCAUAUAUAAUCGUAACUUUCUAGAUUUUGUAUUUCAAAAUAUAGUUAGUAUUGUUAUUUUCCAUAUAUAGUGGAUACUAAAGUAUCUUUAAAAUAUUUGAUUAAUCAUAAAAAAAUCUGAUUGGUUGUAUUUAUUGUUGCAGAAAUUUAUUUAAAAUAAUAAAAAAUGACAAUGGCAUUGAAAUGUAAAUAACUUGAAAAACUAAGGGCAGAAUUCUAGUAGGGAUUUUGCUUUAAUAGUAUAGAUU